Molecule: long non-coding RNA, 1218 nt
Filed under: Homo sapiens (human)
Lineage: Eukaryota; Metazoa; Chordata; Mammalia; Primates; Hominidae
Description: ANKRD65 antisense RNA 1 (ANKRD65-AS1)
Source: RNAcentral
AGCGGCAGCCACGAGCAGGGCGCCGUCCAGGCCCGCGCCGCCGGCCGCCAGCAGCUCCAGCACCGCCAGCCGCCCGCCCGCGGCCGCCCAGUGCGCCGCCGUCCAGCCGCGCGCGUCCUCCGCCUCCGCUGCCGCGGGUCCCGGGCCCGGAGCCUCCAGCAGGCGCGCGGCCAGCAGCGUGUGGCCCAGGGCAGCGGCCCAGUGCAGCGGCGUGAGGCCCGUCCCGGAGCGAGCCGCCGCCGAGGCCCCGCGCUGCAGCAGCAGCUCGGCCACCCGCGAGUGUCCGUGCCAGGCGGCCUCGUGCAGCGCGGUGCGCCCCGCCCGGUCCACCGCGCCCACCGGGGCCCCUCGCUGCAGCAGGAGACGCACCAGGGGCGCGUGGCCCCGCAGCACGGCCAGAAGGAAAGCUCCGUAAGGCUGACCGGGAAAGAAGCGAGGAGCUCUGGGGGCUGGGUGGAAAGUCCCGUACUCAUCAGGGCCAGGGAGGCCACAGAAACUACCUCACGCCAGCUUCCCAGGGGUACAGCGGCUAGAAUGGACCUCGAGGAGGCCCCUCCCAAGACUCCCGUCUCCCGGGUUCCACCGCAGUGGGGGCAGCCACAGCUGCCUCUGCAAUGCUUGUAGGACCCACACACAGUGGGGCACGGAGGGGCAGAGGCCGCAGCCCCUUUGCCAUGAAUCCAAAGAACCUGGAGUGAUUCUGCAGAGACGUUCGAACCAGAGCGACUCCAUCUUGAACAGGGGCUGGGUAAAAUGAGGCCGAGACCGGCUGGGCCGCAUUCCCUGGAGGUCAGGCAUUCUUAGUCACAGGAUGAGAUCAGCACAAGAUACAGAUCACAAAGACCCCGCUGAUAAAACAGGAUGCCGUGAAGAAGCCGGCCCCAAACCACCAAAACCAAGACAGCCAGUCCUCACUGCUCAUUAUGUGCUGAUUAUAAUACAUUAGCAUGAGACACGCCCACCAGCACCAGGACCAUUUACAGUUGCCAUGGCAAUGCCGGGAAGUUACCCUAGAUGGUCUAAAAGGGGGAAGAACCCUCACUUCCGGGAAUUGCCUGCCCCUUUCCCGGAAAAGUCCGGAAUAAUCCACACCAUGUUUAGUACAUAUCAAGAAACAACAAUAAGUGUUCUCGUCGGAGUAGCCCAGGCCGCUGCUCAGCCUAUGGGGCAGCCCUUCUCUUAUUCCUUUACUUUCCUAUUAAACUUGCUUUCAGUUUA